AAUAAAGAAAAAAGCCUUCAAGCCUAUUCUUCAUACCCUGCUGCCCUGUAGGAAUCUCCUCAUCUUCAGAAAGCUGGUCAAGCGCGUGGUUCAAGAGCUCCACAUUUAAGGUGUGAGAUUUCUCAACAUGAUCACUUAGAAAAAAAAGCCUUAUUUCUUAAUGGGAGGUACAUCAAAGAGAGCACGCAGCUGGCUGCAAAAAAAGAAAAAAAGAAAAUACUAGCAUCCAGAAACACACAAAUUCCUUCCCAAC
This is a long non-coding RNA of Alligator sinensis (Chinese alligator), 253 nucleotides long. RefSeq lists it as uncharacterized. The record is from RefSeq and is a predicted model, not a curated record. The transcript is spliced from 3 exons. Lineage: Eukaryota; Metazoa; Chordata; Crocodylia; Alligatoridae.